AUACGUAGGGGGCGAGCGUUGUCCGGAUUUAUUGGGCGUAAAGAGCUCGUAGGCGGCUUAGCAAGUCGGCCGUGAAAGUCCGAGGCUCAACCUCGGAAAGCCGGUCGAAACUGCUAUGGCUAGGGUCCGGUAGAGGAGAGUGGAAUUCCCGGUGUAGCGGUGAAAUGCGCAGAUAUCGGGAGGAACACCAGUAGCGAAGGCGGCUCUCUGGGCCGGUACCGACGCUGAGGAGCGAAAGCGUGGGGAGCAAACAGGAUUAGAAACCCCAGUAGUCC
This 275-nucleotide ribosomal RNA is filed under the name uncultured bacterium. Its description in RNAcentral is "partial 16S ribosomal RNA". It matches the Rfam family "Bacterial small subunit ribosomal RNA", at positions 523 to 796 of the family's 1533-position model. The record is from RNAcentral.